Molecule: ribosomal RNA, 506 nt
Filed under: Sphingomonas paucimobilis
Lineage: Bacteria; Pseudomonadati; Pseudomonadota; Alphaproteobacteria; Sphingomonadales; Sphingomonadaceae
Description: bacterial SSU rRNA
Rfam family: Bacterial small subunit ribosomal RNA
Source: RNAcentral
UAAUUGGAAGCAACGCGCAGAACCUUACCAACGUUUGACAUCCCUAUCGCGGUUACCAGAGAUGGUUUCCUUCAGUUCGGCUGGAUAGGUGACAGGUGCUGCAUGGCUGUCGUCAGCUCGUGUCGUGAGAUGUUGGGUUAAGUCCCGCAACGAGCGCAACCCUCGUCCUUAGUUGCCAUCAUUAAGUUGGGCACUCUAAGGAAACCGCCGGUGAUAAGCCGGAGGAAGGUGGGGAUGACGUCAAGUCCUCAUGGCCCUUACGCGUUGGGCUACACACGUGCUACAAUGGCGACUACAGUGGGCUGCGACCGUGCGAGCGGAAGCUAAUCUCCAAAAGUCGUCUCAGUUCGGAUUGUUCUCUGCAACUCGAGAGCAUGAAGGCGGAAUCGCUAGUAAUCGCGGAUCAGCAUGCCGCGGUGAAUACGUUCCCAGGCCUUGUACACACCGCCCGUCACACCAUGGGAGUUGGGUUCACCCGAAGGCGUUGCGCUAACUCAGCAAUGAGA